CCUACGGGAGGCAGCAGUGGGGAAUCUUGCGCAAUGGGCGAAAGCCUGACGCAGCAACGCCGCGUGCGGGAAGAAGGCCUUCGGGUUGUAAACCGCUUUCAGCAGGAACGAAAAUGACGGUACCUGCAGAAGAAGGUGCGGCCAACUAUGUGCCAGCAGCCGCGGUGAUACAUAGGCACCAAGCGUUGUCCGGAUUUAUUGGGCGUAAAGAGCUCGUAGGCGGUUCAGUCAGUCGGGUGUGAAAACUCUGGGCUUAACCCAGAGCCUGCACCCGAUACUGCUGUGACUAGAGUUCGGUAGGGGAGCGGGGAAUUCCUGGUGUAGCGGUGAAAUGCGCAGAUAUCAGGAGGAACACCGAUGGCGAAGGCACCGCUCUGGGCCGAAACUGACGCUGAGGAGCGAAAGCAUGGGUAGCAAACAGGAUUAGAUACCCUGGUAGUCCAUGCCGUAAACGUUGGGCACUAGGUGUGGGUUCCAAUCAACGGAAUCCGCGCCGUCGCUAACGCAUUAAGUGCCCCGCCUGGGGNGUACGUCGCGAGACAACUACAAGAAGUAGACGCGNGAGACGNGCGACGACGACGACGAGGGAGAGG
RNAcentral lists this ribosomal RNA (593 nucleotides) under uncultured bacterium. Its description in RNAcentral is "bacterial SSU rRNA". The stretch from base 1 to 521 matches the Rfam family "Bacterial small subunit ribosomal RNA", at positions 338 to 873 of the family's 1533-position model. The record is from RNAcentral.